Molecule: ribosomal RNA, 2904 nt
Filed under: Escherichia coli
Lineage: Bacteria; Pseudomonadati; Pseudomonadota; Gammaproteobacteria; Enterobacterales; Enterobacteriaceae
Description: 23S ribosomal RNA
Rfam family: Bacterial large subunit ribosomal RNA
Source: RNAcentral
UUAAGCGACUAAGCGUACACGGUGGAUGCCCUGGCAGUCAGAGGCGAUGAAGGACGUGCUAAUCUGCGAUAAGCGUCGGUAAGGUGAUAUGAACCGUUAUAACCGGCGAUUUCCGAAUGGGGAAACCCAGUGUGUUUCGACACACUAUCAUUAACUGAAUCCAUAGGUUAAUGAGGCGAACCGGGGGAACUGAAACAUCUAAGUACCCCGAGGAAAAGAAAUCAACCGAGAUUCCCCCAGUAGCGGCGAGCGAACGGGGAGCAGCCCAGAGCCUGAAUCAGUGUGUGUGUUAGUGGAAGCGUCUGGAAAGGCGCGCGAUACAGGGUGACAGCCCCGUACACAAAAAUGCACAUGCUGUGAGCUCGAUGAGUAGGGCGGGACACGUGGUAUCCUGUCUGAAUAUGGGGGGACCAUCCUCCAAGGCUAAAUACUCCUGACUGACCGAUAGUGAACCAGUACCGUGAGGGAAAGGCGAAAAGAACCCCGGCGAGGGGAGUGAAAAAGAACCUGAAACCGUGUACGUACAAGCAGUGGGAGCACGCUUAGGCGUGUGACUGCGUACCUUUUGUAUAAUGGGUCAGCGACUUAUAUUCUGUAGCAAGGUUAACCGAAUAGGGGAGCCGAAGGGAAACCGAGUCUUAACUGGGCGUUAAGUUGCAGGGUAUAGACCCGAAACCCGGUGAUCUAGCCAUGGGCAGGUUGAAGGUUGGGUAACACUAACUGGAGGACCGAACCGACUAAUGUUGAAAAAUUAGCGGAUGACUUGUGGCUGGGGGUGAAAGGCCAAUCAAACCGGGAGAUAGCUGGUUCUCCCCGAAAGCUAUUUAGGUAGCGCCUCGUGAAUUCAUCUCCGGGGGUAGAGCACUGUUUCGGCAAGGGGGUCAUCCCGACUUACCAACCCGAUGCAAACUGCGAAUACCGGAGAAUGUUAUCACGGGAGACACACGGCGGGUGCUAACGUCCGUCGUGAAGAGGGAAACAACCCAGACCGCCAGCUAAGGUCCCAAAGUCAUGGUUAAGUGGGAAACGAUGUGGGAAGGCCCAGACAGCCAGGAUGUUGGCUUAGAAGCAGCCAUCAUUUAAAGAAAGCGUAAUAGCUCACUGGUCGAGUCGGCCUGCGCGGAAGAUGUAACGGGGCUAAACCAUGCACCGAAGCUGCGGCAGCGACGCUUAUGCGUUGUUGGGUAGGGGAGCGUUCUGUAAGCCUGUGAAGGUGUGCUGUGAGGCAUGCUGGAGGUAUCAGAAGUGCGAAUGCUGACAUAAGUAACGAUAAAGCGGGUGAAAAGCCCGCUCGCCGGAAGACCAAGGGUUCCUGUCCAACGUUAAUCGGGGCAGGGUGAGUCGACCCCUAAGGCGAGGCCGAAAGGCGUAGUCGAUGGGAAACAGGUUAAUAUUCCUGUACUUGGUGUUACUGCGAAGGGGGGACGGAGAAGGCUAUGUUGGCCGGGCGACGGUUGUCCCGGUUUAAGCGUGUAGGCUGGUUUUCCAGGCAAAUCCGGAAAAUCAAGGCUGAGGCGUGAUGACGAGGCACUACGGUGCUGAAGCAACAAAUGCCCUGCUUCCAGGAAAAGCCUCUAAGCAUCAGGUAACAUCAAAUCGUACCCCAAACCGACACAGGUGGUCAGGUAGAGAAUACCAAGGCGCUUGAGAGAACUCGGGUGAAGGAACUAGGCAAAAUGGUGCCGUAACUUCGGGAGAAGGCACGCUGAUAUGUAGGUGAAGUCCCUCGCGGAUGGAGCUGAAAUCAGUCGAAGAUACCAGCUGGCUGCAACUGUUUAUUAAAAACACAGCACUGUGCAAACACGAAAGUGGACGUAUACGGUGUGACGCCUGCCCGGUGCCGGAAGGUUAAUUGAUGGGGUUAGCCGCAAGGCGAAGCUCUUGAUCGAAGCCCCGGUAAACGGCGGCCGUAACUAUAACGGUCCUAAGGUAGCGAAAUUCCUUGUCGGGUAAGUUCCGACCUGCACGAAUGGCGUAAUGAUGGCCAGGCUGUCUCCACCCGAGACUCAGUGAAAUUGAACUCGCUGUGAAGAUGCAGUGUACCCGCGGCAAGACGGAAAGACCCCGUGAACCUUUACUAUAGCUUGACACUGAACAUUGAGCCUUGAUGUGUAGGAUAGGUGGGAGGCUUGGAAGUGUGGACGCCAGUCUGCAUGGAGCCGACCUUGAAAUACCACCCUUUAAUGUUUGAUGUUCUAACGUUGACCCGUAAUCCGGGUUGCGGACAGUGUCUGGUGGGUAGUUUGACUGGGGCGGUCUCCUCCUAAAGAGUAACGGAGGAGCACGAAGGUUGGCUAAUCCUGGUCGGACAUCAGGAGGUUAGUGCAAUGGCAUAAGCCAGCUUGACUGCGAGCGUGACGGCGCGAGCAGGUGCGAAAGCAGGUCAUAGUGAUCCGGUGGUUCUGAAUGGAAGGGCCAUCGCUCAACGGAUAAAAGGUACUCCGGGGAUAACAGGCUGAUACCGCCCAAGAGUUCAUAUCGACGGCGGUGUUUGGCACCUCGAUGUCGGCUCAUCACAUCCUGGGGCUGAAGUAGGUCCCAAGGGUAUGGCUGUUCGCCAUUUAAAGUGGUACGCGAGCUGGGUUUAGAACGUCGUGAGACAGUUCGGUCCCUAUCUGCCGUGGGCGCUGGAGAACUGAGGGGGGCUGCUCCUAGUACGAGAGGACCGGAGUGGACGCAUCACUGGUGUUCGGGUUGUCAUGCCAAUGGCACUGCCCGGUAGCUAAAUGCGGAAGAGAUAAGUGCUGAAAGCAUCUAAGCACGAAACUUGCCCCGAGAUGAGUUCUCCCUGACCCUUUAAGGGUCCUGAAGGAACGUUGAAGACGACGACGUUGAUAGGCCGGGUGUGUAAGCGCAGCGAUGCGUUGAGCUAACCGGUACUAAUGAACCGUGAGGCUUAACCUU